UUUUACAACCUCCGUCAUCUUUGCGACAGGUCCAACGGAAGGCGUGGUCCAUCUUCAUCAGGAGCGUUCUCUACCAGUCUGUCAACAGGUCAUGCAUGACUCAAGACCGAGUUUGCAUUACAUUACGCGGUCCCACGCCAUCACAAACAACAAUGCGACGUAAAAUACUCCCCAUAAAAGGAACGGCUGCGACUACACACGAAAAUUACUCGCACUUGUUUACAUUUCCACCUGCACGGCAAAUUUUAAGUGACCGCCAGCCAAACUUCUAAGCUGCAUGAUUUAAAACCAUAAGAAUGCGUUUCAUACAGGCUGCACUGGAAGAAUAUGGCUUGUUGACUUACCAGGAAAGCGCAAAAUCGACGUCUCAACGGACAACCAACUUUUGACGAAAACAAUACUAGGAGCACAAAGUUGUAUCACUCGAUUUGUUUGCCACACACACUUCCAGCUUCAUGGAACCGCCUCAAUGCUUCCGGUAGAAAUAGGAAGUAGGAAGCAUGUCUUCCGCUGUUUCCUUUUAGAUUAAAAUGCAAUGUAGUCAUGUGGUGCGUAUUGUGGCAAAAAUAGUGUGCUGGGCACAAAAAUGUCCAAUUUGACGAAGUACUCUUUGCUGUGAAAGAAAUAACUAUAAUCCCUGAAUGGUGCAUUAGGUGCUCCCAAAAUGCUUUUAUUGUGAAAGAAACUUUGACGACUGUCAGUUCUGGUCCAGUCAAAAAUCAUUAAAGAUUUUUUGUUGUUUUAAGUGCACUAAUGCAUUAAUCCUGUAAAUGUGUAAACAAGUCAAUUGAAUCCUCGCAACUCAGUAUUAAAUCAUAUGUAAUUAGUUUCAUAUGAUGGCACAGCAGAGAACAAAACAAGUGGCAUGACAUCAACACGUGGGUCAAUCUGUAGCUUUAUUCAGUGUUACUUACAAUUGACCACAAAUUAGCAGAAUGAAUGGUUCACACACGUGCCUCACAGUCAAGAGGUCCAAAACCAUGCAUCUAAUGGUACGUUUACAAUAUGUUCCCGUUUGUUCCAUUAUUGAAGUUUGUUUUAUCCCCUAAAAUUGACUGGUCAAAAUGCUUAUUUACUUCUUUUUUUAAUUAUAACUUCUUAGUUGAAGUACUGAAAAUAAUUAAAAUACUACUAAAACAAUUGAACUGACUCAUUAAUAAUUAAAUUGUAAGUAAAACUAAAAUGAGCAUAUACUGUAUUAAAUUUCACAGAUUUACAUAAAAUACAAACACUAAAAUUAGCAUUUUUACAUUUUUCACUGAUUAAAUAACUGGCUAAUCAAUUCAUCCACUUUAGCAUGAACACUUGUUGCCGUAGUUGGCUUGACCCUUUGACAGUGUACACUAUAUAAAUGGUUACCUGAGGCAGAAAAAUGCCUUAAGCAUUUUCUUUUUAGUCUGAGGUGCUCCAAUUACUCUAGGACCUGUUUCAGCCCUACUUUAGUGUGAAGCAGUAUUCAUGCAUGAAAA
Molecule: long non-coding RNA, 1469 nt
Organism: Hippocampus zosterae (dwarf seahorse)
Lineage: Eukaryota; Metazoa; Chordata; Actinopteri; Syngnathiformes; Syngnathidae
Exons: 2
Source: RefSeq, a predicted model, not a curated record